This 592-nucleotide ribosomal RNA is filed under the name Lacticaseibacillus rhamnosus. RNAcentral describes it as "bacterial SSU rRNA". It matches the Rfam family "Bacterial small subunit ribosomal RNA", at positions 59 to 614 of the family's 1533-position model. The record is from RNAcentral. Lineage: Bacteria; Bacillati; Bacillota; Bacilli; Lactobacillales; Lactobacillaceae.
AAGUCGAACGAGGUUCUGAUUAUUGAAAGGUGCUUGCAUCUUGAUUUAAUUUUGAACGAGUGGCGGACGGGUGAGUAACACGUGGGUAACCUGCCCUUAAGUGGGGGANUACAUUUGGAAACAGAUGCUAAUACCGCAUAAAUCCAAGAACCGCAUGGUUCUUGGCUGAAAGAUGGCGUAAGCUAUCGCUUUUGGAUGGACCCGCGGCGUAUUAGCUAGUUGGUGAGGUAACGGCUCACCAAGGCAAUGAUACGUAGCCGAACUGAGAGGUUGAUCGGCCACAUUGGGACUGAGACACGGCCCAAACUCCUACGGGAGGCAGCAGUAGGGAAUCUUCCACAAUGGACGCAAGUCUGAUGGAGCAACGCCGCGUGAGUGAAGAAGGCUUUCGGGUCGUAAAACUCUGUUGUUGGAGAAGAAUGGUCGGCAGAGUAACUGUUGUCGGCGUGACGGUAUCCAACCAGAAAGCCACGGCUAACUACGUGCCAGCAGCCGCGGUAAUACGUAGGUGGCAAGCGUUAUCCGGAUUUAUUGGGCGUAAAGCGAGCGCANGCGGUUUUUUAAGUCUGAUGUGAAAGCCCUCNGCUUAACC